RNAcentral lists this ribosomal RNA (1419 nucleotides) under Escherichia coli. RNAcentral's name for it is "partial 23S ribosomal RNA". It matches the Rfam family "Bacterial large subunit ribosomal RNA", at positions 529 to 1936 of the family's 2925-position model. The record is from RNAcentral. Lineage: Bacteria; Pseudomonadati; Pseudomonadota; Gammaproteobacteria; Enterobacterales; Enterobacteriaceae.
GUGAGGGGAGUGAAAUAGAUCCUGAAACCGCAUGCAUACAAGCAGUGGGAGCACCUUCGUGGUGUGACUGCGUACCUUUUGUAUAAUGGGUCAGCGACUUAUAUUCAGUAGCGAGGUUAACCGUAUAGGGGAGCCGUAGAGAAAUCGAGUCUUAAUAGGGCGUUUAGUUGCUGGGUAUAGACCCGAAACCAGGCGAUCUAUCCAUGAGCAGGUUGAAGGUUGGGUAACACUAACUGGAGGACCGAACCCACUGUCGUUGAAAAGCCAGGGGAUGACUUGUGGAUAGGGGUGAAAGGCUAAUCAAGCCUGGUGAUAGCUGGUUCUCCCCGAAAGCUAUUUAGGUAGCGCCUCGGACGAAUACCAUAGGGGGUAGAGCACUGUUUCGGCUAGGGGGUCAUCCCGACUUACCAAACCGAUGCAAACUCCGAAUACCUAUGAGUACUAUCCGGGAGACAGACUGCGGGUGCUAACGUCCGUAGUCAAGAGGAAAACAAUCCAGACCGCCAGCUAAGGCCCCAAAAUCAUAGUUAAGUGGGAAACGAUGUGGGAAGGCAUAGACAGCUAGGAGGUUGGCUUAGAAGCAGCCACCCUUUAAAGAAAGCGUAAUAGCUCACUAGUCGAGUCGGCCUGCGCGGAAGAUGUAACGGGGCUAAAACUAUGUGCCGAAGCUGCGGAUGUAUACUUUGUAUACGUGGUAGGGGAGCGUUCUGUAAGCCGAUGAAGGUGUGUUGAGAAGCAUGCUGGAGGUAUCAGAAGUGCGAAUGCUGACGUGAGUAACGACAAAACGGGUGAAAAACCCGUUCGCCGAAAGACCAAGGGUUCCAGUCCAACGUUAAUCGGGGCUGGGUGAGUCGACCCCUAAGGCGAGGCCGAAAGGCGUAGUCGAUGGGAAAAUGGUUAAUAUUCCAUUACUUCUGUGUAAUGCGAUGAGAGGACGGAGAAGGCUAAAUCAGCCUGGCGUUGGUUGUCCAGGUGAAAGGAUGUAGGCAUGUAUCUUAGGCAAAUCCGGGGUACUCUAUGCUGAGAUCUGAUAGCAAGCUGUACUUGUACAGCGAAGUGGUUGAUGCCAUGCUUCCAGGAAAAGUCUCUAAGCUUCAGUUACACAGGAAUCGUACCCGAAACCGACACAGGUGGUCAGGUCGAGUAGACCAAGGCGCUUGAGAGAACUCUGCUGAAGGAACUAGGCAAAAUGGUACCGUAACUUCGGGAGAAGGUACGCUGUUGUUGGUGAUGGAACUCGCUUCCUGAGCUGACGACAGCCGCAGAAACCAGGCCGCUGCAACUGUUUAUUAAAAACAUAGCACUCUGCAAACACGAAAGUGGACGUAUAGGGUGUGAUGCCUGCCCGGUGCUGGAAGGUUAAUUGAUGGGGUUAGCGUAAGCGAAGCUCUUGAUCGAAGCCCCAGUAAACGGCGGCCG